AUGGCAGCAGAGGCAAUCUUAGGAGCCUUCAUGCAAACCCUGUUCCAGAAAUUAUCCGAAGCACUUCUCGACCACUUCAAGUCUUGCAGGGGCAUCCAUGGCAAGCUGGAGAGCCUCUCCCAGAUUCUCUCUCAGCUACAUGCCUUCCUCGACGAUGCCGAGGUGAAGCAGCUGGCAGACGCGUCCGUGCGGGGCUGGCUAGCGAAGCUCAAGGACGUCGCAUACGACCUAGAUGAUCUUCUCGACAGGUAUACAGCCAAGAUUAUGUAUCUGAAGAAGAGGAAGGUGAAACUCUCCACCAAGGCAAGUGUCGGUUCCCCUUCUUCCUUCUUGCGUAGGAAUCUGUACCAGUACAGGAUAAAGCGUAAGAUUAGCGGGAUAUUGGAGAGGUUGGAUAAAAUCGCAAGAGAACGUGACACGAUUGGCCUCCAGAUGUUGGGUGAAAUGAGCAGGCGUGAGACGUCAGAGAGACCACAGUCUAGUUCUCUUGUGGAUAGUUCAGCUCUGUUUGGCAGGGAGGGAGACAGAGAGGAAAUGGUGAGGCUCAUGCUAUCUGAUGAUGGACACAGUUUGAGCAGUCUUUGUGUAGUUCCAGUUGUUGGUAUGGGGGGACUUGGUAAGACCACUCUUAUGCAGAUGGUGUACAAUGAUGACAGAGUGAAAGAACACUUUGAGUUGAGGAUCUGGAUCUAUGUGUCUGAAUGUUUUGAUGGGAGAAAGCUAACACAAGAAACUCUUGAGGCUGCUGCCUAUGACCAAUCCUUUCCUAGCACCAACAUGAAUAUGAUGCAGGAAACACUCUCCAGAGUAUUGCGGGGCAAGAGGUACUUGCUUGUCUUGGACGAUGUCUGGAAUGAAGACUAUGAUAAAUGGCUCAGCUACAGAGCAGCCUUAAUUUCAGGAGGGCUUGGAAGCAAGAUAGUGGUAACAUCCCGCAAUGAGAAUGUCGGCAGAAUCAUGGGAGGGGUAGAGCCCUACAAGUUACAGCAGCUAUCGGACGAUGACACCUGGUCCGUAUUCAAGAGCCAUGCAUUCAGGGAUGGUGAUUGCAGCACACACCCACAGCUGGAGGUGAUAGGAAGGCAAAUUGUGAAGAAGCUGAAGGGAUUGCCUCUCGCAUCAAAAGCAUUAGGGAGCCUUCUCUUCUGCAAAGCAGAUGAAGAGGAGUGGAAGGGGAUACUAAGAAGUGAUAUAUGGGAGCUACCAGCAGACAAAAAUAACAUAUUGCCAGCUCUGCGGCUAAGCUACAACCAUUUGCCACCACAUCUCAAACAGUGCUUUGCAUUCUGUUCCGUGUAUCCAAAAGAUUAUGUAUUCAGUAAAGAGAAGUUGGUUAAGAUUUGGCUAGCACUUGGUUUCAUCAGGCAAUCUAGAAAGAAGAUACUUGAGGAUUCUGGUUAUGCAUAUUUUAAUGAGCUGGUAAGCAGGUCUUUUUUCCAGCCCUACAAGGAGAACUAUGUGAUGCAUGAUGCAAUGCAUGACCUUGCUAUAUCAGUUUCCAUGGAACACUGUGAGCGAUUUGAGGACGGGACAAGAUACGACAAUGCCAUAAAGACUCGUCAUCUUUCAUUUCCAUGCACCGGUGCCGGGACCAAGCAUUUUGAUCCACUGUAUGGGUUUAGGAAGUUAAGAACACUAAUUCUCAUGCAUGGAUACAAUUCUAAGAUGUCUCAGUUCCCUGAUGGUGUCUUUAUAAAACUUCAAUUCCUUAGAGUUCUUGAUAUGCAUGGAAGAGGUCUUAAGGAAUUACCAGAGUCUAUAGGGAAUCUGAAACAACUUCGCUUCCUAGAUCUCAGCAGCACUGAAAUAAAAACAUUACCAGCAUCUAUUGUCAAGCUCUAUAACUUGCAAAUAUUGAAGCUGAACAACUGCAGCUCACUAAGGGAAGUGCCACAUGGCAUCACUAAGCUCACUAAUCUGCGCCACUUAGAGGGAAGCACAAGGCUACUGUUAAGGAUACCAGGAAUUGGAAAUUUGAUCUGCCUACAGGAAUUAGAAGAAUUUGUUGUCUUGAAACGCCCCGGGCACAACAUCACAGAGUUAAGAAACAUGGAUCAGCUGCAAGGAAAACUUACCAUUCGUGGCCUCAACAAUGUGGCUGAUGAAAAAGAUGCAAUUUGUGCGAAGUUGAAAACCAAAGAAUAUCUUCGAGCUCUACACUUUAUAUGGGAUGAGGACUGUAAACUUACUCCUUCAGAUCAGCAAGACGAAGUUCUGGAAGGCCUUCAACCACAUAUCGAUAUCAAGGAAUUGAUGAUUAAAGGUUUUCCAGGGGCGAGGUUCCCGAGCUGGCUCGCUACUUCAUUUCUUCCUAAUCUGCAAACCACCCAUAUAUGCAACUGCAGAUGCACAGUUCUCCCGCCAUUAGGCCAACUUCCUUUCCUCAAAAAUCUCAAUAUAGCCGGAGCAACUGAUGUGACACAAAUUGGACACGAGUUCACAGGACUUGGACAAAUAAAAUGUUUUCCAGCAUUAGAAGAGCUUCUGUUGGAAGAUAUGCCGAAGCUGGGAGAGUGGAUUUUUGAUGAUGCUGAUCAGUUGUUCCCUCAAUUAACUGAACUUGGUCUCAUCAAUUGCCCCAAGCUGAAGAAGUUACCCCCAGUUCCACCAACACUUACAACACUGAGGAUAGAUGAAGCUGGACUUGAGUCACUUCCAGAUCUUCAAAAAGAAGCUUGUCCGUCUUCUCUAACAUUUCUAUACAUCAAUGGUUGCCCGAAUCUAACAUCUCUGCGUGUAGGCUUGCUUUCACAGAAUCUGACAGCCCUCAAGAGUCUAACAGUAGCCCACUGUGAAGAGCUUGUUUCGCUACCAGAAGAGUGUUUCCGUCCACUUACAUCACUUCAGUUCCUGCACAUCUACGAGUGCCCUUGCCUGGUACCUUGGACAGCCCUGGAGCGAGGCUUGCUUCCUGCUUCAGUUGAAGAAAUCCGUCUAACAUCAUGCUCUCUGUUAGCACACGUACUUCUAAAUGGCCUACAAUACUGUCCUCGUCUCAAGCAUUUUCAAAUUUCUGACUACCAAAUUGCUGACUACCCUGACAUCAGUAACUUCCCACUGGAGCUUUUACCUCACACACUUCAGUUCUUAGACAUAUCACGCUGUGAUGACCUCCAGUGUUUGCCUCCAAGUCUGCAUAAAGUCUCCUCACUUGAAACACUACAUAUCUCCAACUGUCGUGAGCUUGAAAGCUUGCCAGAAGAAGGUCUGCCCAGGGGGCUCAAGGAGCUUUACAUCAAUCAAUGCCCAAAAAUUAAGCAACGAUGCCAAGAAGGUGGACAGGACCGAGUCAAGAUAGCUCACAUCAGAGACAUCGAGAUUGAUGGGGAUGUUAUUGUGCUUGAGCAGAUAUAG
RNAcentral lists this ribosomal RNA (3354 nucleotides) under Triticum aestivum (bread wheat). RNAcentral describes it as "partial small subunit ribosomal RNA". The record is from RNAcentral. Lineage: Eukaryota; Viridiplantae; Streptophyta; Magnoliopsida; Poales; Poaceae.